UCCGAGUUAACCCCGGCAGUCUCCUAUGAGUCCCCGCCAUAACGCGCUGGCAACAUAGAACGAGGGUUGCGCUCGUUGCGGGACUUAACCCAACAUCUCACGACACGAGCUGACGACAACCAUGCACCACCUGCACGCGAGCCCGAAGGCGCCGCCAUCUCUGACGACUUCCCGCGCAUGUCAAGCCUUGGUAAGGUUCUUCGCGUCGCAUCGAAUUAAUCCACAUGCUCCGCCGCUUGUGCGGGCCCCCGUCAAUUCCUUUGAGUUUUAGCCUUGCGGCCGUACUCCCCAGGCGGGGCGCUUAAUGCGUUAGCUACGGCACGGAUCCCGUGGAAGGAAACCCACACCUAGCGCCCACCGUUUACGGCGUGGGCUAC
Molecule: unclassified non-coding RNA, 377 nt
Filed under: uncultured Actinomycetes bacterium
Lineage: Bacteria; Bacillati; Actinomycetota; Actinomycetes
Description: uncultured actinobacterium contains 16S-23S intergenic spacer region
Source: RNAcentral